GGGGUCCGGAGCGCUCUAGUGUCAAAAGUGGCUAUUACACUCCGGAGUCCGGAGUCCUCUAGCGUCAAAAGUGGCUAUUGCACUCCGGAAAUUUAUGGCGACGAAUGGCAAAUCAAAUAACGACUGAUUCUGUGUUUUGACUCUCAUCACCUCGUUAAAACUUUUUGCCUCUUUCUUCGCAAUUGCCUCGUUCAAUUGGAUUCGCAAUUUCUCGUUAGUCAAUUGGUUUGAUUAACAUUUAAUAUUUAUGGUGUGCAUAAAGGAAGAGGGAAUGAUAGGAAAUAAAUCUCUGCUGUACUUGGUGAUUUCCAACAGGCCAUACAUUCUACAAUGACAUUCUGAUUGUGUGUGAUAAUGAAGAGGGAAUGAUUGCAAUUAAAUCUCUGCUGUACUUGGUGAUUUCCAGCAGGCCAUACACUCUACGAUGGCAUUCUGAUUGUAACCAGGUGUGUGUUAAUGAAGAGGGAAUGAUUGCAAUUAAAUCUCUGCUGUACUUGGUGAUUUCCAGCAGGCCAUACACUCUACGAUGGCAUUCUGAUUGUAACCAGGUGUGUGAUAAUGAAGAGGGAAUGAUUGCAAUUAAAUCUCUGCUGUACUUGGUGAUUUCCAGCAGGCCAUACACUCUACGAUGGCAUUCUGAUUGUAACCAGGUGUGUGAUAAUGAAGAGGGAAUGAUUGCAAUUAAAUCUCUGCUGUACUUGGUGAUUUCCAGCAGGCCAUACACUCUACGAUGGCAUUCUGAUUGUAACCAGGUGUGUUAAUGAAGAGGGAAUGAUAGGAAAUAAAUUUCUGCUGUACAUGGUGAUUCUCCAACAUUAUUGAUCCCAAAAUCCUCGACUUUCAUCCAGUCAUAAUGAUGUCAUUUACUAUGACUUUGGCUAGGCCAUGUAUUCUGCCAAUGAUCGUAUCAAAAGGAAACGACCAGGUCGCCAUGUCUUCUCGAUAGAAAACUCGUGAGGACACCGCUGUUAUUUGCACGCUGCUCAGUGUCUUGGUCGGUGUAUGCGCGGGAAAACGGACGAAUGGUGAUAAGCAACAUUUCUUUGUACAGACAAUUAUUGAUGCACAUUUUGUGAAACCAACCGUCGCAACCAUUCGUGUCACAUCCGAUAAACUCAAAUCCAUUUUUCUCCCAGCCUGUCCUGCGACAGGUACAAUACAAUAAUUCUGCUUCGACAGUCUCGUGAGUCCUUGUUGCACGACUUUCAACUGAUGGGAAUGGAGUUAGUUCGCCGGAAUCCAUACACUGAAUAAGGUGAUUGGAGGAGACUGGACAUACAACUUAGGACAUGCUCGUUUCUCCAUGGAUUGCCGGGACUGCUGUCAUACACCAGUACAUGUUCACGUUGAAUAAACCCUUUGGCAACUAAUACCCAGUGAUCCGAUCCGUCAUGAACGAUCUGCAACCAUUGAUCGCCCUGCGCUCGGGGGAAUUCAAGGCUGCCUCCAAUUGUACAGCAGAACAGACCACCUAUUUCUGGAUGUUGCUUUUUCAGGAUUGCCUGCGCCUUGUUGAUGUCGCCUGACAUGAGUUUGUUCGUCUUUGUUAAUACUUGCGGCUUGUCCAAGAAAAGAUAGGGUUGUUUACUCCUGUCCCGUCUAUUUCGGUUUUUUCGGAGGCAACCAUCAGUCGAAGACACAAGCUAUUAAAGGAAGUGAAACUUCGCUGGGUGUAGUUGUGAUCAAUGUGUAGUUGUGAUCAAUGAUGGACACGUCCACUUCAUCGACUGGUGGAACAUCAGCGGCUGUGGUGAUGCGAACGUCUGUUUUGUUUACAGGUGAAACUACGCUGGGUGUAGGUAAUUCCUGAAGCUGUGAUGACGAAUCUUGAUUAUAAUAAUCCUUCAUGUGUUCUUCUUCCUCAGCCAAAAUUAGCACUUCCUCCAUCUCUCUGCUCAUAAUUCCACCCAUCUAAACAAAAGCUUCACGUUCUUCUCAUCUGGAUCUGGAUCCACCACUGAAACAUCGUCACGCGUUGUCUUCGACUUCUUUUUGUAAGCAGUAAAAUAUCCUUUGUCCUGUUUUGGCCUGCCUCUUUUAACAGGGGCAACGGGAAGACGGAGCGAUGCCCAAGGUUGAGCAAAAACCUAUAAAGAUGUUUCAAUACGUUCCGCAACAGUCGGAGAAUCAACCAGUGAGUUGUUCGAAGGAUUCUCGGUCUCCUGCUUCUCGUCUUCCAUUACUCGAAGGAGUUUCCCCUCUUUCAUUAAUUUGUGAAUGUUAAGGAAGAAGUGCAAUUGGACUUCGAAGUCGGAGGCUGCUAGUCCACUCAUCGUGUCGGCCAUCCUACGGAAAACGUUAGUGGCCAUGAUAUAUUGGCUUUUCCCCGUUGCACGCAGCCGGGUCUUUUUCGGACGCUGAACUCCAGAUGGCGAUGAAACGCUUGCGGAAACGACCGCAUCAUUCUUACAUUCAUUUAACCAGUGAUUAGAAAAUGAUCCCACUGGAACUUCGGUGUUUUCUUUGAUGUGGAAGUUGAUAAUGUGGCGGCAAGGCAGUUGAAAAUCCAAGAAAAACUUGCACGUGCAGCCAGUGAGAUCUUGUUUCAAUUUGUACGUAGUGUAGCGUGAAACUAUGUGUUCUGCUUCGAGAUGGCCCCAAGCAAAAGGGGAGAUGGUGUCCGCAAACUUUUUGAUCAACGGAUGCUUUUCCUUCUUGGAGAAUUUUACCUCUCGUAUGCACUGUUUCAUUUUUCGGUCAGAAAGGCGUAUCAAAACGAUGUCUAUUAAAUUGCGGAGAACUUCUGACAAUCGCUUGGUUUUCUGGAGGACAUCCUUGAUAGUGUGGUGAAAUCUUAAAAUACGAUUGGUGGUAUUGUUACCAAACGUUGGAAGAUUUCGACGUCCAAGGUUACUCCAUUUGUCGGCUAUGUUGAACCAGUUAUUUUCGAAGUAUGCUGCAAUACUUCCUGGUCCGGAACCUAUGAAGUACGCUUUUGCUGUUUCAAAAUCAGCCUGCGUUUCAGCAUACAUAGCCGCACGAAAGUGUUUAAUAAUUUCGUGGAUUUUUUCUUUGUCUACGCGUUCGCCGUCCUUUGGUUUCUUUAUGUAGACGUCUACGGCCUUCAAUGCGUGAAACUGACAAAGGAUGUGAACCCCAUGAGGAAAGCAGUUCUCCAACGCGGCUAUCUCAGCGCAGUCUUUGUCGGAUAUGGUCACUUUUGUCAUGGAGACGUCGUUAUUCUGUAGGCAUUCAGAAAUCGCUUCCGUUGUCUCUUCUCUAAUGAAGAACAUAGCUACGGGUUGACCAUCGCCAUUAUUGUCUUCUAUCAGCAAAUGAUACAGCGCAAAUCCAGCUUGAUCAAUAUUCUGCACGAAAAUAGCGGUGACUUCUCCUUCCGGGUCGUGCAGCACUUUGACGACGUUGUUUGGAUCUUGUUGUAGACUAUCAAGAAAGCUAACUGAAUUGCUCCAAUCGUCUUCCAAAUUCCCUAAUGACAGAAAAAAGUUGUCCUUGAUUUGUUCAAGUCCUUGCUAAUGAGAUUGGAACCGAAUUUAUCUUGCAGAAUCUUGCGAAUUUUAGUCGGUUGAGCGCCGGCAGAAAGCGCACCGUUGGCGAAACUAAGGGCCUCGUCAUUCAUAUGCCUGUAAUAACGUGCAACAAGGUCGACAAGGUCAUUCCAGGAAAUAUAUAACAUGAAAUCCAAUCAUUUAAUCGAACAUACAACAAAACCUUAUUACAUCACACGGAAUGUAAAGUCUUGACAUGUUCCGCAGAAACAGGGUGGUCUUUAUGCUCCAACUCCAAGACCUUGAUCUCAAACUUUUCACUAACUGGAUUAAAAACAAAUCUAAUCUGCACUGGACAAUUGUUUGGCAUCACAUUUUGGUUCAGUCGUGAACCCUUUGAUCGUGAUUUGUGAGUACCAAAAUGAGGGCACAUGUAUUGAAUUCUUUUAAACUCAAACUUUUCGUCAAGUACGAUUUGAUUUCUUCGGUCAUUGUUGUAACUACUAAUUGACUCACAAUGACCACGACGCAAAUAUACAUUUUCUGUCUCUAA
This 4002-nucleotide long non-coding RNA is filed under the name Daphnia pulex (common water flea). RNAcentral describes it as "uncharacterized LOC124201930, transcript variant X19". The record is from RNAcentral. Lineage: Eukaryota; Metazoa; Arthropoda; Branchiopoda; Diplostraca; Daphniidae.